Molecule: transfer RNA, 72 nt
Filed under: Ophiognomonia clavigignenti-juglandacearum
Lineage: Eukaryota; Fungi; Ascomycota; Sordariomycetes; Diaporthales; Gnomoniaceae
Description: tRNA-Arg
Rfam family: tRNA
About the family: Transfer RNA (tRNA) molecules are approximately 80 nucleotides in length. Their secondary structure includes four short double-helical elements and three loops (D, anti-codon, and T loops). Further hydrogen bonds mediate the characteristic L-shaped molecular structure. tRNAs have two regions of fundamental functional importance: the anti-codon, which is responsible for specific mRNA codon recognition, and the 3' end, to which the tRNAs corresponding amino acid is attached (by aminoacyl-tRNA synthetases). tRNAs cope with the degeneracy of the genetic code in two manners: having more than one tRNA (with a specific anti-codon) for a particular amino acid; and 'wobble' base-pairing, i.e. permitting non-standard base-pairing at the 3rd anti-codon position.
Source: RNAcentral
AUCUCAUUAGCUCAAAGGUAGAGCCAAUAGUUUCCUAAACUAUUAGUUUCAGUUCGAAUCUGAAAUGGGAUA